AUGGACGACCCCCGUCCAGGGGUUGUAGCCGCCGGCCCAGGGUGGCGGGGGAUGCUGCCCGACGUAGCGGGGCUACUGGGGUUGGCCGCCGCCGCCACCUUUCCCUCCUCCUUGGCGCUGGCCGCCGCGGCCGCGACGGCGAUUCACGACGUUCCCGCCAUUGUGCGGCGGUUGAGGCGGCUGAGGCACCGGCUGCGGAGGGGGGUGCUGCAUGGGGACCGGCUGACGAGGCACCAGUGGUGGUGGAGUCGGAGAGAGGCCGGCGGCGAGGGCAGUGUGAGCGGCGCGGGUACGGAGGUUCUUCAUCCGCCGUUCCUCAUGACGAAGAUAGGCCACCGCCCGCUCGUAGGUGGGGUUGGCCAUGAGGCUGAGAUUGGACGCGGCGUUGCCGAAGUCCUCGUUGAGGCCGGCGGUGAGCGUCGACAGGAGAAGCUUGUAGGUGGGCUUAAUUUUUUGUCUUGA
Molecule: ribosomal RNA, 462 nt
Filed under: Triticum aestivum (bread wheat)
Lineage: Eukaryota; Viridiplantae; Streptophyta; Magnoliopsida; Poales; Poaceae
Description: partial small subunit ribosomal RNA
Source: RNAcentral